UCGGACCCAGGGAGCUGGCCAGCAGGGGGCGAGGCUAAUGGCUUCCAGGACGCUACCAAAGGAUGGAGAGAACGGUAUCAGAAGGCGGGGCCAAGCAGGAUGACAGAUCCUGACGUGGACGUCUUGGGGAACCGCCAUGUUGGGAAA
This is a long non-coding RNA of Balaenoptera ricei (Rice's whale), 147 nucleotides long. RefSeq lists it as uncharacterized. NCBI's taxonomy places the organism in Eukaryota, Metazoa, Chordata, Mammalia, Artiodactyla, Balaenopteridae. The record is from RefSeq and is a predicted model, not a curated record. The transcript has 2 exons.